This is a long non-coding RNA of Sinocyclocheilus grahami, 288 nucleotides long. RefSeq lists it as uncharacterized. Lineage: Eukaryota; Metazoa; Chordata; Actinopteri; Cypriniformes; Cyprinidae. The record is from RefSeq and is a predicted model, not a curated record. The transcript has 3 exons.
CUUGUGAGCGCGCGCAGGUCUGAUGCUGUUAAAAGGGAGUAAUGGAGGCCUGAGCCAUUGAUAUGCAGACUAAUGCAGUUACUGGAGAGAAAUAAAAGACCUCAGGAACCCAUUUGAAUGAGGUGCUGACACUACCAUGUGGAGUGGACGGAGAGACACUAAUAAGAGCACAGCUGGCAUCUGGGCCGUAGUCUCUCAGAGCCUGGAACCCCAUGCAUAAAUAAACACAGAGGCAUUAAUUUUCACAAUUUAUAGAUUUUUAAGUAAAAGCCCAAUGUUCUUCCUGAA